Molecule: long non-coding RNA, 254 nt
Organism: Penaeus monodon (black tiger shrimp)
Lineage: Eukaryota; Metazoa; Arthropoda; Malacostraca; Decapoda; Penaeidae
Exons: 2
Source: RefSeq, a predicted model, not a curated record
CGAACGUUCUAGAAAAACGCUUGUUUUGAAUCCGCGGAAACCUCGCAAGAGAGGCCAGUGAGACGCUCUGUGCGAUGUCGUUUUCAUGUGUUGUUUAGGCUGGCCACACUCUUUUCACCACCCAUGCUUGUUCCUGUGUGCAAGUUUGCGUGUGUGCAGGAAAACUGCUGUCAUCUAGCAAGCUGUCAUCUAGCAAGUUUGGAUACAGUUUAGGCCUACCAGCUUGUGAACUUGAGAAUAAAGUUUUAACUGAC